ACAUGGAUUCUGAUGCCCUGCGAGUCUUCCAGAAUGAGCUCAUUUGCUGCAUUUGCGUGAACUACUUCAUAGACCGGUCACCAUUGACUGUGGGCACAGCUUUUGCAGGCCCUGCCUCUGCCUCUGCUCAGAAGAAGGCAGAGCACCAAUGCGCUGCCCUUCAUGCAGAAAAAUCUCAGAGAAGCCCAACUUCAACACCAAUGUGGUACUCAAAAAGCUGUCUUCCCUAGCCAGACAGACCAGACCUCAGAACAUCAACAGCUCAGACAAUAUCUGUGUGCUCCAUGCGGAGACUAAGGAGCUCUUCUGUGAGGCUGACAAGAGAUUGCUCUGUGGGCCCUGCUCUGAGUCACCAGAGCACAUGGCUCACAGCCACAGCCCAAUAGGAUGGGAGAAACUUAUAAAGGAAAUGGACUAUUUAUGGAAAAUCAAUCAAGAGACACGAAACAAUCUAAAUCAGGAAACUAGCAAAUUUUGUUCAUUAGUGGACUAUGUGUCAUUAAGGAAGAGGAUAAUCACUAUUCAGUAUCAAAAGAUGCAUCUAUUUCUCAAUGAGGAGGAGCAACUGCAUCUGCAGGCACUGGAAAGAGAAGCAAAAGAGCUUUUCCAACAACUACAAGACAGUCAAGUGAGAAUGACCCAACAUUUAGAAAGGAUGAAAGACAUGUACAGAGAGCUGUGGGAGACAUGCCACAUGCCUGACGUGGAGCUGCUCCAGGACUGAUUUGGCACAGAUGCAAAAGCCCCAGCCAGUGAACCCAGAGCUCACUUCAUGGUGCAUAACUGGAGUCCUAGACAUGCUCAACAACUUCAGAGUGGAUAAUGCUCUGAGUACGGAAAUGACUCCUUGCUAUAUAAGCCUUUCUGAGGAUGUGAGAUAUGUGAUAUUUGGAGAUGACCAUCUCAGUGCUCCCACGGAUCCCCAGGGAGUGGACAGCUUUGCUGUGUGGGGAGCACAAGCAUUCACCUCUGGCAAGCAUUACUGGGAGGUGGAUGUGACCCUCUCCUCCAACUGGAUUCUGGGAGUCUGUCGAGAUUCCAGAACAGCAGAUACCAAUAUCAUUAUUGAUUCUGAUGAAAGAUUUUUUUUAAUUUCCUCAAAGAGGAGCAAUCACUAUAGUCUCUCCACCAACUCUCCACCUUUAAUUCAGUAUGUGCAAAGGCCUCUGGGUCGGGUUGGGGUGUUUCUGGAUUAUGAUAAUGGAUCUGUGAGUUUUUUUGAUGUUUCUAAAGGUUCUCUUAUCUAUGGUUUUCCUCCUUCCUCCUUCUCGUCCCCUCUGAGGCCUUUCUUUUGCUUUGGUUGUACA
Molecule: long non-coding RNA, 1307 nt
Filed under: Homo sapiens (human)
Lineage: Eukaryota; Metazoa; Chordata; Mammalia; Primates; Hominidae
Description: non-protein coding lnc-TRIM49D1-1:1
Source: RNAcentral